UACGUAGGGUGCGAGCGUUGUCCGGAAUUAUUGGGCGUAAAGGGCUCGUAGGCGGUCUGUCGCGUCGGUAGUGAAAACUCAGGGCUUAACCCUGAGCCUGCUUCCGAUACGGGCAGACUAGAGGUAUGCAGGGGAGAAUGGAAUUCCUGGUGUAGCGGUGAAAUGCGCAGAUAUCAGGAGGAACACCAGUGGCGAAGGCGGUUCUCUGGGCAUUACCUGACGCUGAGGAGCGAAAGUGUGGGGAGCGAACAGG
This 253-nucleotide ribosomal RNA is filed under the name uncultured bacterium. Its description in RNAcentral is "partial 16S ribosomal RNA". It matches the Rfam family "Bacterial small subunit ribosomal RNA", at positions 524 to 776 of the family's 1533-position model. The record is from RNAcentral.